CCUACGGGUGGCAGCAGUGAGGAAUAUUGGUCAAUGGGCGCGAGCCUGAACCAGCUAAGUAGCGUGAAGGAUGACUGCCCUACGGUUUGUAAACUUUUUUUAUAAAGAAGUAAAGUGAGGCACGUUUGCAUUUUUUUCUGUACUUUAUGAAUAAGGAUCGGCUAACUCCGUGCCAGCAGCCGCGGUAAUACGGAGGAUCCGAGCGUUAUCCGGAUUUAUGUGGUUUAAAGGGAGCGUAGAUGGGUUGUUAAGACAGUUGUGAAAGUUUGCGGCUCAACAGUAAAAUUGCAUUUGAUACUGGCAGUCUUGAGUACAGGUGAGGUAGGCGGAAUUCGAGGUGUAGCGGUGAAAUGCUGAGAUAUCAAGAAGAAUGCCGAUUGCGAAGGCAGCCUACUAAA
RNAcentral lists this ribosomal RNA (398 nucleotides) under uncultured bacterium. RNAcentral describes it as "partial 16S ribosomal RNA". It matches the Rfam family "Bacterial small subunit ribosomal RNA", at positions 338 to 733 of the family's 1533-position model. The record is from RNAcentral.